Molecule: long non-coding RNA, 7283 nt
Filed under: Selaginella moellendorffii
Lineage: Eukaryota; Viridiplantae; Streptophyta; Lycopodiopsida; Selaginellales; Selaginellaceae
Description: long non-coding RNA (SMOE_LNC000811)
Source: RNAcentral
GACUUCUUGAAAACUCUUGUGCUGAAGGGCUCUCUUUUAGGAUUUGAAUCCUAUAAAAUGCUUAAACCAAACCCUAAAUGUGGCAAAUAAUGAAAUAUAUAUGUGUUAUUUGUAAAUUAGGCACCACCCACCCCUUUGGAGGUGUACCUCCCCCUCGAAUUGACAAUAGUUUCUUUCUUCAGCUUCCAGUGCUGGAUGGAAACAGAGGUCUCUGUGGAGUGGGCAUGAAGGAGCGGCCGCCACUGCUGCUGCCCUCCUCUGAAUAGGCCUCGAGAUCCACCCCCGCCCCGCCCAGCUUCGCCGCUCUCCUUCUCGCCAGCGACGCCUCCUGCCGCUGCGCGACGUACUUGCGCGUCCGGCACACAUAGACCGCAAGAACCACUAAGGUAAUCGCGAAGAACAGUCCCACCACGAUCCCAGCGAUCGCCUCGUGCGAGAGCGUGAUCGUUUCCUUGCUGGAUUUGGAUUGCUCCAGUAGCCACCGUCGUCCAAUCGACCCAAUCGCUGGCUGGAUCAUCCGCUGGAUCGAUCCAGGAGCUUCAUACCCGUAUUGGGUGACCUCAUAGGAUGAAUCUACACCGCUGCUACAACCGCCGCCUGGGAUCCAGAUCGCAAGCAGCAGGAAUAGAGAAAGAAGAAGAAGCAAGCCGCUCCUCUGAGUUGGCGCUACCUCUCCGCCAAAUAGCACCAUUUUCGUGAUCCUGCGUGUUCGUUGCCAAGAUAUCUAUUUCUCGACCUCUCAAGUAGAAUGGAAGUUUGGGCGAUUUUAUCAUUUAUAUAGGAAAAAGACCCUCUUGACCUACAAUACAUAACGCGACUAGUUCAAAGUCUUCUUGUGAAUAGCGCGUCAUACGUGGGGCCUUUGACGCUUGUGCUUCGCCUAGACCUUGAAGUUGACAGAACUUUUCUUAUGUGAAUUUCUUCUUCCUAAACCCUAAAUAAUCAAAGUGAUUUCAUGGCAAGAUCGCUUGUGAUCUGCAAAGAAAGAAGGAAUCUUUAUAGAUCAGUCUUCCUUGCCUCAAAAAUCCACAUUGCUUGCCGUGAGCUGAGAUGCAUUUCGACCAGCAGCUUAAAAUUUUUUAAGCCUGGGCGCCAUUUUCAUUAUAGGUUGGAGGGCAAAGCGUGGAGGUGGAUGAUUACACAGAGGAGCAGGAUAUAAUCUCCAGCAUUCUCCACCGUGCCUCAAGGAACUCACUGUUGUGCUCGAGUAUAGCAAGGAUGGUGAUGACCAGAUGGAAGUUAGCAGUCACUGCUGUUGGCUCCCUCACAAAGCUCUCCCUCGAAGCUCUCCAUGGGACCAAAUGGGGAGCAGCGUACUCCACCGCGAUUCAGGAGCUCCACAUCACUGGGAGACCAUGUUGGGGGGUGUGGGAUCUUGUAUGUAGAGACACAUCCUCGCGCUUGGUGACACCUCCGGGCACAAAUGAUUUAUUUGUGGGCACAAAUGACUGUAACACAAAUCAAUCAGUAAGAUUUAACAAAGAAAAAAAACCAAAGAAGAAUAGUCAAGAUCCACAUGAAGAAAUAGUUGUAUUGUCUCCAGAUUAACAAAGAAAAGAGACUGUCCAUGGUCAUCUUGUGUUCACUGUCAAUGCAUUGGAGCGCAAGCCUCAAAACCAUAGGCGAGACUGGGAGAGAUUGGCGAUGGCAUCCACCUUCCAGUGUCCAUAUAACGCCAACUUACGAAGGUUGUCACAUCGCAUGUCCACAACGCAAGAGUUACACUGUUCAAAACCUCUAGGCUCGGGCACGAAGCUAGCAGCAUCUGGAGCAGCGCAUGGGGGACGUAAGAGUAGAGCUCACAUCUUUGUACACGAAUCAUCUUGAAAAGAGAUCUAAGGCAAGAAAGAAUCAUGGCUGUCCACUCUUGAUAGGAAAGAUCAACGCAAAACACUCAAAUGAAACGCAGACCACUACAACCCUGUCUUGGAUUCGAUCGAAAACCCAUCGAGCCUCCAUUGCCGCAUUUCCCAUACAUGUUGAUCAAGCUACUGGCCACACGAGGAUUGGAUUGGAGCCAUAUCCUGUGUGGAUGUGGAUCCUCCUCCCUCUCUCCAAAUCCCUGGCGCCGGUGCAGGAUUUCAUGCUGUGACACUUGCCUUGACUCUAACCAUAAACUUUUCUCUCUAUUUCAAAGAGGUAGGAGCGAGAGGAACUCCAGUCUCCUCUCUAUGUGGCGGUAGCUCCAGUGGAACCUGUGCAGAAAACUCACAAGGACGAGCAUCAACAUCGUGACUCGCAAAACCACAAGAGGUACCAAUUCAUCUUUCGUGAAACUUAGUAGUCAUGCAGUUGAUUUUCAAUAAGAACUUGCAAAGAUCAGGCAUUGCUACUUCUCACGCGUGAAAAAUGCGACCAGGAAAAAAGAAGAGCAAGUCGAACAGCAGCCGGGGCUGCAGUGAAUCACGAUGUCUUCCACUUGAUGAACUCCAAGUAAAUCCUUGAGAACCAUCAUGGUGGGCGGUGUGGGAUCUUGCACGUGAAGAUGAACAGCCACAUCCUUACGCUUGGUGACAACUCCAAGCUCCCUCAGUUAACAGCGAACACAAGAUGACCAUGGACAGUCUCUUCUCUUUGUUUGGCUUUGGAGACAAUACAUACUGACUGCUGUUCUCUUCAGGUUCGUUUUUUUUUAUUUGUCUUGUGUUUCUUGCUGAUCGAUCUGUGUUGCAGUCAUUUGUGCCUGGAGGUGUCACCAAGUGCAAGGAUGUGACUGUUCAUCUUCACGUGUUGGUGGCGCUAAAGCCAGGUUACAAAUGCUUCUGGGUGCUGUUUGACCUGCUCUUUGGUCGCAUUUCUUUUGCAGAGAAACUGCAUCACUGGCUCUAUUAGAAGCGAUGCGUGAUCUUUGUCAAGUUUUUAUUGAACAUCAACGUCAUGACUAGCCUGGUAUAUUUGUAACACCUCGAGCCGCCGUUGAUGCUGUAGGUGACGACGCGCUCAUGUCGCCAUGAAGCGCCAGGCCUGCUCGAGAUCCCCCGCUUUGCACAAGCUAUCGAUCAGAGCUGGUUGUAAGUCGCCACGUCGGGGGAUGGAGCGAUCCCAACAUGGGCAAUGUGAUCUACGCGGAUUGGGCGCGAUCAAGCAUCGCUUCCACGUCAGGGAUUCUUCUCUUCCAUCGCUCUUCCUCUCCUCCUCGCCAUUCGUCCUCCUUGCGGCGCUCUGCAGCCUGCUUGUCGAAGUCUUUCCAUCACUGCUUGCGAUGGAAAUGCGAGCAGUGUGUGAGAUUGGAUGAAUUGGAACAAGGGAUUUUUGAAAUAUCACUUGGAUGACAGAAUCCCCAGCGUUGGAAUUUUUAGGAAGCAACGAGCGUUUGGAUUUGGAGCAUCGCUCCACUUUGUGGAGGCAUCGGCAAUGCCGCAAGAGAAUUUGCAAAGCUAUAAGAGGUAAGACGUUAGCUUGCUGUCGUUUGCUUCCCCCAGGAUCAGACCGAUUAGAAGAACGAGAUGGGAAGAGGGGAUUAGAGGAACGAGAAGAACAGGGACUGGGCCUGGAGCAACGGGUAGAACACGUUGAAGGCCUGUUGCAACUAGAAGAAGAACAUGUUGAAGGCCUCGAGGGCGAUCAAGGGCUGGAAGCAAAAGGACUGGAAGCUGAGAAAAGCAACGAGAAGAAGAACAGGUUCAAGACCUCGAGGGCAAUCAAGGGCUGGAAGCUGAUGGAGCAGAGGUUCACGGCAUAGGAGGGUGUGUUGACAUUGUCAAAAGAUACGAGUCGAGUGUCAAUAGAUGAAGCAAUACACUGGAAGUUAGCAAUUGUUGAUCUGCUCGGGUCUCCAGGAAUCACGCAACAAUCAGGAAUAGCUUGUAUAUAGAGUGUGAAAGACUCAUGAAUAUAUACUCGUUUUUUCUCUUCAUGGUAUCAGAAUGCAGGUUUGUGGCUCAUUACUUUUCCUUUCUUUGUUCCUGUUUCGUGCUCUUGAUUGCUGAUGGAGCGAUUGGCUGCUACCAUUUGAUGGCUCAAGGCGUUUUUGGUACUGGAUAGGGUGCUUAUUCUUCAGCCAUUGAGUCCACUUGUAGUAGCAAUAUUGCUACUACGAUUAAUCAGGAGUAGACUGCUCGAGCCAUCAUCAAAUUGAAGCUAGCAGAACAUCUAGCAUUUGCAACGAGAGUCUAGUCUGCUGCAGAAUUCUGGGAGCCUCCUUGUGUGCUGAGGCCAAGUAGCUGGUGUUGUCAACUCUUCUCCUGCCAAUAAGGAUCGCGGAGGUGUACAAAAUAGACUGGACAUUAUUUCAUCUGCCUCAUCCAUUUCAUGAGCAUGAGAAGCUCUAUCCUAUUCCAUUUCUGUUUUGCGUCCCUUUGCUUCCCAAAAAUGGCCCCUCUUUGCAGUAUAGACAUGGUCAAUCCUCUCCAGGAUUGCUUUUGCAUUCCUCCAUAAAGACAAACAGUCUGAGCAUAACAUGGUACCUCUACAUGGUAGGCAGAUGAGUUCGCACUCUUGUUGCUGAAUUGGAGCCAUGAUACCCACAGAACCUUCAUGUCCACCUUGCAAUUUACAUCGUUCUCGCAAUGGUGCCAAACUUGCAAAUUCAUUCAGCUUCUGUGUCCUUAGCAUUUCGAUGUGGUGCCUUCCUUUUAAUCCCAUUCAAUGCUGUGAAUGGCCUUCCUUCAGAAAGCAUUAACAUGUUAUCAAAUGCCUUCAUCCUCCUAUUCUUCAUCAUUUUCAUCUUCUUCUAGCAAGAUAUCUUCCAUUGGAGUGCUUGACAUGGUUGGUUGGCAGUCACUGCAACAAUGGCACAUUGUUGUAAUAGUCCAUUGUCAUCCCUACUUUGGAAUUGGAAUGCUUCCCAUCCCCCUGUCCCAUGCAAAGGAGCUUCCUCCGAACCAUCUGGAUGCUGAGGAUGAUGGAUGCCGGGCUUGACCUAACUCACCUGACUCACUUGGGCUGCAAGAAAGGCAUUGACACAGUUGAUCACUUAUGGCACUGUAACCUCAUAAGAACCAAAGAGAAGCAAUCUAAGACAACAAGAACCCUAACUUGUAAGUGGAUUUGAACUCAAGUUCUUUUGGAUUUGGAAAAACAAAUUGAGCCAAACUCAGUCCAUGUGGAGAUGACAUCCACUUGCAGAGCCAUGGAGAAUAUGAAAUACUAUAAAAAUAUUAAAAUAAUGCAUGCUAAAAAUAUUCUCAAGGAUUCACUUAAAAAGGAAUUUAUAUAAGUAUAUUCCAUGUUUUUGUGAGUUCUUACAUUUCUGUAUACCCGUGUUCUCAGGGCAUUUCAUCACCUGCCAAUCACUGAUUAUAAACAUUAUACAAAUCAAAAUCAAGAAUUGAAAAUUAUUUCAUGAUAGAAUUUUAUUUUGAAUUUUAUUUUCCCCCAAGCCUACAAGCACAAAUCACUUGCAUUGUUAUUUUAUUUAUUUUUUAUAUUUAUUUUUUUGCACAUUUUUUAUCCCCAUAAUCUUAAAAGUGUGCCAAUUACAUUUUGAUUGAUUACGUCCGCAUUACCACAUGCAGACACGUGCAUGUAGUACUCAUGUUGAUUUUCUACUACUCAGUGCAUAUAGGUUUGCAGCAAGGGAUUGGGGGGUUGAGCAUGAGCCUUUCAAUUAUAAAGUUCACACCAAUGCAAGACUCGGCACUAAACUACCAAGGUCCUCUCCAAUUCCAUGGUAGUCUUCUCCAAAUCGCUAGCACUUGGCGCUUGGCUUAUCCCAGAAUGAGACUGCUCUCUUCGGGCCAUGUAGCCAGCAAUGUGUUUUGUGGCUACCAAUAAGAGGCCAUGAAGAAUUGUAGCAAGUUCCUGAUGUUUGUAUCUUGUUCUGGUCCACUCCUGUGCUUUACAAAGGCCAUGAGAACCGAGUUCCAGUCUCCAGCACAGGAUGUUCUUGUGCGUGAUAUUUUGUCAAAAAUGAGCUUAACCUCUCAUCAUCAUUGUGUAGAGCAGACAGUCUCGCUGCUCGCACUCGUCAGACAAACCUUGGAAUAUGUUUUGAUGGUGGCUUUAGAAUCCUUGAUAUAUCAAGAUCAAAGAAAACAACAAGUAAAAAACUUGAAAACCUGGUUGCAUCUGGUUUGCAUUAUCCUGAGUUGUCAAGAAAGCUUAGAUACUUCCCAAGAAAUCUCCCCUUCACCUCGUCAAUCUGCUUAGACACUUCAUGCUUGACUUGCUACUUUUGCAGAAAGUUGUUAAAUCCCAUCUAUUCUCCUUUUGACUAGUGCAUAGGGGUAAGAAUAAAUUUAAUCGCCCUGUCCUUUUCACUAGCACAUAGAGUUGGGAUACUGAUCAAGAGCAAAAAACUAGUUGGCUUUGGGAUUUUGAUCAAGCACGAGAUUCAGGAAUCGAUUGGUUAACUUUGCUUCAUUUUCAGAUUCUGGACGUUUAGGAAUGAUCCAUGGUUUAGAAUUCACUGGGACGCCCUGAUCUAUGGACAGCUGGCUUGUGGACUUCUUGUGCUGAAGGGCUCUCCAGUUCUUGGGUGAUAUCGACAGUCUUAGAAUGGUGGACAGAAAGCUUGUGUGCCAUCAACGUGAUGAAAUUGUGGCAUUUUAUCGAGCAAGGUCUUUGUGGAGCAUUAAGCUUUGAACCAAGCCCUAAAUGUGGCAAAUAAUGAAAUAUGUUAUUUGUAAAUUGCCACACCCCUUUGGAGGUGUACCUGACAAUAAAUUAUUAUACAACGCUGAUUCGCAAGAAAAAUCAAGUAUCUUUACAUUGCUCUAGUCUAUGGCUCAAAUCGAAUAGUUUCUUUCUUCAUCUUCCAGUGCUGGAUGGAAACAGAGGUCUUUGUGGAGUGGGCAUGAAGGAGCGGCUGCCCUCCUCUGAAUAGCCGUCAGCGCCACCGACCUCGAGUUCCACCCCCGCCCCGCCUAGCUUCGCCGCUCUCCUUCUCGCCAGCGACGCCUCCUGCCGCUGCGCGAUGUACUUGCGCGUCCGGCACACAUAGACCGCAAGAACCACUAAGGCAAUCGCGAAAAACAGUCCCACCACGAUCCCAGCGAUCGCCUCGUGCGAGAGCGUGAUCGUUUCCUUGCUGGAUUUGGAUCGCUGCAGUAGCCACCGUCGUCCAAUCGACCCAAUCGCUGGCUGGAUCAUCCGCUGGAUCGAUCCAGGAGCUUCAUACCCGUAUUGGGUGACCUCAUAGGAUGAAUCUACACCGCUGCUACAACCGCCGCCUGGGAUCCAGAUCGCAAGCAGCAGGAAUAGAGAAAGAAGAAGAAGCAAGCCGCUCCUCUGAGUUGGCGCUACCUCUCCGCCAAAUAGCACCAUUUUCGUGAUCCUGCGUGUUCGUUGCCAAGAUAUCUAUUUCUCGACCUCUCAAGUAGAAUGGAAGUUUGGGCGAUUUU